AUCGCUUCUCGGCCUUUUGGCUAAGAUCAAGUGUAGUAACAUACAAAUAAUUGUUCAGUAAUGAUCACAGUUUUUAAUAACCUUU
Rattus norvegicus (Norway rat) is the source of this 85-nucleotide small nuclear RNA. Ensembl annotates it as U2 spliceosomal RNA. Lineage: Eukaryota; Metazoa; Chordata; Mammalia; Rodentia; Muridae. The record is from Ensembl.